RNAcentral lists this small RNA (86 nucleotides) under Pedobacter antarcticus. Its description in RNAcentral is "Flavo-1 RNA". It matches the Rfam family "Flavo-1 RNA". RNAcentral also lists the same sequence under 1 other name. Lineage: Bacteria; Pseudomonadati; Bacteroidota; Sphingobacteriia; Sphingobacteriales; Sphingobacteriaceae. The record is from RNAcentral.
UUGCAUCAGGGAUUGAAGCGGCAUCCUUUUUUUGCAUCUGGAUAGAGGGAGAGGGAAAAAAGAUACAGCGGAAAGCCCGUGUCGGC